UGAAGGUGGUGGCUUCUUGUACAAGAAAUGCAAGCUGUCAGACUGAUCCAGUGGUCACAAAUGCAGUUGCCAUCCAGUGCAGUUACCGUAGCACAAUAACUGUUGGAACACAGCUGUCAGAGGGAACCCUAAAACACCGAAGAAGCCACGGUGUCCAAAGUAAGCCAUCAACACGUGUUGUCGGUGUCGGCACUGAGGGUUCACUACUACCACCAUCACCACAAAAGCAACACACUUUUGGGUUAAUGUCAACCGCAGUAAAGGUUGCUCAGCCUCCACCUGUACCCGACUGGUCCCUGGCUGAAACAGAAGAUGAUGAGCAAACUAUGGAUCUUGAUGACAGCAGUUAUGUCCCAGGCUUCUCAGCCAUGGAGGAAUCAAGCAUUGAUCUCCCAGGAUACCACUAAAAGAUGUCCCCAAGUAGGGGAGAUCUGGUACGGUUGUAGCACUUUUUUGUUUUUUCCUUAUGUAGCCCGUAGAACUGAGUACACAGGACACAAUUACUUCUUUGGGGUUCUUUUAUUUGAUUUUAGAUAUGUUGAUUUUCUUUUUGACGGAGGGCAAAUAAAAAGAA
Molecule: long non-coding RNA, 574 nt
Organism: Myripristis murdjan (pinecone soldierfish)
Lineage: Eukaryota; Metazoa; Chordata; Actinopteri; Holocentriformes; Holocentridae
Exons: 3
Source: RefSeq, a predicted model, not a curated record